This is a long non-coding RNA of Nematostella vectensis (starlet sea anemone), 1109 nucleotides long. RefSeq lists it as uncharacterized. The record is from RefSeq and is a predicted model, not a curated record. The transcript is spliced from 3 exons. NCBI's taxonomy places the organism in Eukaryota, Metazoa, Cnidaria, Anthozoa, Actiniaria, Edwardsiidae.
GCAAAAUAGAGAGCCCGACUCUGUGGUCCGACUUUCGCUCCUAAGUUUAUUCUGCUAAACUUGCUGGAAUUAUUCUGUCUCUCAUCAUAUAUACACAGAGGCAACUAUAUUGCGUUCCGAAGGUCCAGGCAUACUCAAAAGGUGAACUUUCCCACCAUUUCUCAAGCGCUUGAAGUGUACACCGUACAGAGGUUCAUCACCAUUUAAACGUUGACUUCGGCUAAGAUGAUCAUCUAAAGAAAUUAUUGGAUGCUAGAAGAAUCGUGGAGCUAACAGUGAGUUUUUCCUCAGAGAGCAGCUCUACCAAACAGCAUAUUUUUUAGUUUUUGAUUCAUUUAUCAUAUUUGUUUAGAACUUAAUCCAUAUGAACUAUGUUAAUUAAAAUAAAAAAAAGCGAUAAAAGAAUGCUAACUUAAAACGAAUGCUAGUCAUGCAGACUUGUUAGAGCUGUAACUAAUCUCUGAUUUUAACCUUAUUGGCUAAGGGCGUGGCAGUAUUCCUACUCAAAGGGAAUGAACUGUCAUAUGGUUGAAGCUGUACCAUAUAACAGUUUACUUUUUUAUCAGAAGUCUUGUAUUCAAGACUCUACAAAGCUUUAGAUUUUUAUCUUAAAAAAAGAUGAAAAUAGAUACAAAAUAAGAUCCAGACCAUUGAAAGCAUUGCUUUUUAUAAAGCAAUUACAAACUAAAAUAAAUAUAUCAAAAUUAUUGGCUAGCAAGAGGGCCAGAGUAUCAUUUGAAUCUGUGUCCUUGGGAGGGGGGAGGUUUUUUUUUUGUUUAGGUGAAGCCUGUCACACAAUUUUUGGUUAAGUCCUUUUUUUAUCACGAACAAAUGGUUCGUUAGUUUGAGAUUUUGGUAGUCUAGGCAUUGCUGGUCUGCGUUGGAGGAUUCAGUCACCUGGAGGUAUGUUUCCCCCUCUCCCCCUUUUGCUGAUAACUUUAUCAUGUGAUGCAUGGGCCAUAUACUGGUUACUGGUGAUCUGUACUUUCGAUGCAUUAAUAGUUUUCAUAUUUCCACAUUGAAAAGGAUUUUUUUAUUCUUAUUAAACAGUCAAAAAGCAUUGAAUGAAAAUAUGAAAGAGUUUAAUGAAAGGAAAUACUAUCAUUCCA